GAUCCUGGCUCAGGAUGAACGCUAGCUACAGGCUUAACACAUGCAAGUCGAGGGGCAGCGGGGUUGAAGCUUGCUUCAAUUACCGGCGACCGGCGCACGGGUGAGUAACGCGUAUCCAACCUUCCGUACACUCAGGGAUAGCCUUUCGAAAGAAAGAUUAAUACCUGAUGGUAUGAUGAGAUUGCAUGAUAGCAUCAUUAAAGAUUCAUCGGUGUACGAUGGGGAUGCG
This 229-nucleotide ribosomal RNA is filed under the name uncultured bacterium. RNAcentral describes it as "partial 16S ribosomal RNA". It matches the Rfam family "Bacterial small subunit ribosomal RNA", at positions 15 to 235 of the family's 1533-position model. The record is from RNAcentral.